Molecule: ribosomal RNA, 253 nt
Filed under: uncultured bacterium
Lineage: Bacteria
Also listed under: 1 other name
Description: partial 16S ribosomal RNA
Rfam family: Bacterial small subunit ribosomal RNA
Source: RNAcentral
UACGGAGGGUGCGAGCGUUAAUCGGAAUUACUGGGCGUAAAGCGCGCGUAGGCGGCGUGAUAAGCCGGUUGUGAAAGCCCCGGGCUCAACCUGGGAACGGCAUCCGGAACUGUCAGGCUAGAGUGCAGGAGAGGAAGGUAGAAUUCCCGGUGUAGCGGUGAAAUGCGUAGAGAUCGGGAGGAAUACCAGUGGCGAAGGCGGCCUUCUGGACUGACACUGACGCUGAGGUGCGAAAGCGUGGGUAGCAAACAGG